RNAcentral lists this non-coding RNA (102 nucleotides) under Cyphomyrmex costatus. The record is from RNAcentral. Lineage: Eukaryota; Metazoa; Arthropoda; Insecta; Hymenoptera; Formicidae.
GUGUUGUAUGAAAGGAGAGAUGUUUAGCGCUCUCCUAAACAGAGAUGAAUAAACAGAUGUAAUAGGCACUGUCGUCUGUUGACGGCAUUUACCAUGUCAUGA